This 253-nucleotide ribosomal RNA is filed under the name uncultured bacterium. Its description in RNAcentral is "partial 16S ribosomal RNA". It matches the Rfam family "Bacterial small subunit ribosomal RNA", at positions 524 to 776 of the family's 1533-position model. The record is from RNAcentral.
UACGGGGGGUGCGAGCGUUGUCCGGAAUCACUGGGCGUAAAGGGCGCGUAGGUGGUUUGAUAAGGGUGUGGUGAAAGCCCGGGGCUCAACCCCGGGUCUGCCGUGCCGACUGUCAAACUCGAGGGCUGUAGAGGCAGACGGAAUUCCGGGUGUAGCGGUGGAAUGCGUAGAGAUCCGGAGGAAGACCGGUGGCGAAGGCGGUUAGCUGGGCAGUUGCUGACACUGAGGCGCGACAGCGUGGGGAGCAAACAGG